GAUGAACGCUGGCGGCGUGCCUAAUACAUGCAAGUCGAACGGACGGACGAGAAGCUUGCGGCUCUGAUGUUAGCGGCGGACGGGUGAGUAACGCGUGGAUAAUCUCCCUGUCAGUCUGGGAUAACUUCGGGACACCGGAGCUUAUCCCGUAUAAUAUCUUGAACCGCGUGGUGCAGAGGUGAAAUACGGUGUUGGGGGCUGGUCUAGCGGCAUCCGCGCUGCAUGAGGUAGUUGGUAGGGUAACGGCUUUCCAAGGCAAGGAUGCAUAACCGACCGGAGAGGGUGAUCGGCGACAUGGGAGCGGGAACGCGGUCAAGGCUCCUACGGGAGGCAGCAGUAGGGAAUCUUCCGCAAUGGGCGAAAGCCUGACGGAGCAACGGCACGUGAGUUAUGAAGGUGUUCGGAUCGUAAAGCUCUGUUAUGAGGGAAGAACAUAUGUGUAAGGAACUGUGGAGAGCUUGACGGUACCGAGUCAGAAAGCCACGGCUAACUACGUG
RNAcentral lists this ribosomal RNA (497 nucleotides) under uncultured bacterium. RNAcentral's name for it is "partial 16S ribosomal RNA". It matches the Rfam family "Bacterial small subunit ribosomal RNA", at positions 28 to 507 of the family's 1533-position model. The record is from RNAcentral.